This is an RNA transcript of Lemur catta (Ring-tailed lemur), 5101 nucleotides long. RefSeq lists it as uncharacterized. The record is from RefSeq and is a predicted model, not a curated record. The transcript has 6 exons. Lineage: Eukaryota; Metazoa; Chordata; Mammalia; Primates; Lemuridae.
GCGAUGGCCGGGGAAGUGUUUGUGAGCAAUGAAAACACCAGCUGCAGGAGACACUAGUUCACCUUCCACUGUCCAUUGGCACGGAGCGGGCACCUUGCAGUGUCGGGUCACCUGCUUCGAGGCCUGUUCGGUGUGACAGUGUCGAGCUCCCCUUGCACUCAGCGGCUGGUUCGGUGCCGGCACAGGGGACGGUGACAUGGACAGUCGGUGGGCGGCAGGAGGAGGGCUUGUCUCUGGCUGCGCCUCGGCGUCGUGGCAAGCUCAGGGCCAGGGUGGUCCUGGGAAUGGAAGCUCCGGGCCAGUUCCCUGGGAGCCUGGCGGCCCAGAAGACACCCUGACACCCUGGGUGUUGGCCGCAUGGAGGAACAGCAGCCAAGGCCAGAGACCGUGGGGACGAGGAGGGUGAGCAGCCCCUGGGGCCCACGGGUCCCCUCUGUUCCCAGCCAGCACCGUGUCCCGCGUCAGCCCCCACUUCCCCUGUGGGAGCCACCCUGGUGCUCCCAGUCUCUGGAUUCAGGUAGGGCUCACGCCUCUCUGUGCACCCCAAACCCAGGGCCCCGGGGCACGUGUCCCAGGACAGGCAGUCGGGUCACCCCCAGGGCCUCGGGGAGCCAAGCACAAGCGCUGUGAGCCCCCAGGCCGGCCCCUUUUCCUGCAGGGGCUCUGCCAUGCGUUUGUGCUGCUGGAGAAAUUCCAGACGCGGCUGGUAACGGGGCGAGUCUGUAGGACGUGGGGGCAUCUGGUGUCCUAGCAGCCGGCACAGGCCACAGCCCCUGGGGAGGGGAGAGGCCCUGGCGCCGAUUCCGAGUCCUGCCUUGCACGGCCCAGCUGUGGAAAGCAGUCCGGCUUUGCUCUCGGUGCGCCUCGGAAGCUUCUGGACUCACUAGAUUCUCAGACACGGCCACCCACAGACAUCCUGCGUCUUGUGGUGACCACCUCGGUCCUGACCUUUGCCCUCCACUUACUCUCUUCAGCUAGCCUUGGGGUCCCUUCUGAUUGCUGUGGGACCCCCCCUCCUCCCCAAUACAGCCACGAGCGCGGCCCGGGUCUGGCUGCUGCGUGGCUCGUCCCCACCACCGGGGACAGCGCCGGCAGCUGCGGAGAAUCAGGAAUGUUUGCUGAAUGAAUGAAUGCAAUGAAUGAAUGAAUGCUUCAACUGUGCCUGCACCAUCAGCUCUUCCUAGAGUGACUGAGUCACCCGGGAGGUGGCAGUGCCAGUGCCUUGGUCCCUCCACUGCACACCCCGGUCGGGAGUCGGGGCUGGGCCCAGGAAUCUGCGUGGUUAACAAGGCUCUGAUAGGCGAGUGCCCACCAGGUCAGCCUCUGCCGGAAAACGCCGUCCAGAGAACAGCCCACGCCAGGCUAAGGGGUGAUCUCCCUUCCUGCCGCUCCAGGGCUCGGGGCUCCUGGAAAAGUGCUCGUUCCUCCCCAGGCGCACGGGCUGGUCUCCACCCUCCUCCCUCUCUGCGUCCGUUUGCAACCCGGGAGGGUUCUCUGCUCUGGAACGCCCAGGGUUCCUCUCUGCACGGAUGCUUUGAAGAGCGGCUGAGAAACAGCGAACGUCCCCAGACGGAGGCUCUGAGAGACCGCGAGCGGGACGAUGCUGGCAUUUGGUGCAGCUGCUCGCCCCUCAGGGCGGAGUCGGCAGUGGGUCUGCGGGACGAGGACACACACAGCGGAAACUUCACGGUAGAAACCGGGCAGAUACAGACACAGAUUCUCCCAACCCCACUGUGCUCACCCAGCCCCCUCAGUGCUGGCCUGUCAUCAUCCUGGGUGUCUGAUGGAGUCUCCAGGGACAGCCGGUGGGUGGAGCUGGUGCUGUCAGACAUGGGAAACAAUGCCAGUGUCCCUCAACCAGGGAAGGGACAGCAAACCCGGCAUGUCCUGCGGUGGAGCAGCACUUGGCAGUCAGAGGAGCGGCUGUGGGCAGGCGCAGGGCGUGGGAGGAAUUGCAGAUGAAUCCCGCUGAGCCCGUUCAUGCGUCCUCUGGAGUGGCAGAGAAGACAGCAGCAGUUUCCAGGGGUUACGGCUCACACCCAGCAGGUGCACACUGAGGUCCCCCCCAUCCCUGCCCCAGUCCCCUCCUCCCGACCCUGCUGUCCUCCCUCAUCCCAGAGAACGUCCCCACCAGCCCCCGCAGGCUCCAAGCCGAUGACUUCAAUUAUCCCCACUUCCGGGAUAUCAGUCACUCCCACACAGCCAAUUAACCAGGAAACCCGGGACGCGCUCAUCGAUCCUCUAAAUCACACGCUGAAAACCUGGAUGCCGAGGACCUUGGGCCAGCGGGGUAGGCUGUGAGCACAGCAGCAGGACUCCGGGCCUGGGCCCCUCACUGCCCCGUCCCGCUGAGGUUUGCUGUGGGAGCAAGUGCUCUGCCCAGGCCCUCACCACAGGGACCCCGAGACUGAGGCUGGGGCUGUGUGAAGCCACUGAGCGUGCGGAACGUGCCCUGCAGAGACAGAACCUGGCCCCUGGGAGGGAGGACGGGGAGCCCUGUCCCUCUUCUGUCCCUGCAGCUCAUAGUCCACGGGCCGGCACUGGUGACACGGCACAACCCCUGCAGGGGCUGGGGGCCGGGUGUCCAUGGCCAUUGGUGGGGACCGAGGCUCUGCCCCGGAGGGUUGGGCAGCAGGGGUCUGAGGAGCAGGUGGGAGCCCCUGCAGGGCUGGAGCUGGGGGGACACAGUCUGACAUGUGCCACAGGGGGACCCCGGGCUGCCGUGUGCGGAGCUGCCUGCAAGGCCUGGGGCAGCAGCAGCCAGAGGAGAGGUGACGGGUCCCAAGGACAGUCCAGGGGCAAAGCCCAGGAGUGCAGGGCAGGGGAGGCUGAUGCUACAUGCGUCGACAGGCAGAGCCUGGAGGACUUCCUGGGAGAUUGCAGAGAGCGCAGGAGCUGCCCUGUUCUUGAUGGAGAAGCCCGUGGGUGUGGCGGGUUCCAGACGGAAUCACCUGCAGCCCCGGGCACCAGGCGGCGUGGCUGGGGUGGCUCAGGGCCGGGCAGGAGCGGGGCCUCCCGGGAGGAGCUUGGGUCUCGGUGCCGCAGUGGCUCCCACGCUCCAGGGGGCUCCGGGAGGGACACACACACGGCACUGAGCCUCGGGUUGUCCGUCCUCAAAUGGAUCAAGAAAAGGUCCUGAUCCUUCUUUCCAGAAGGAAUUUCUUAGGGACAAAUGAGGAAAUAACGCAGAAAGACUCGGAGGCUCAGCCCAGCUGGGGCCUGAGGUAACUGCAAGGCGAGGCCACUCUUGUUCUAACUGGGUGCUCUCACGUCCAUGUUUUGUUUUAGUGACUUGAAUCUGGGGACGGAGACGUUAACCUAUGAGUCAUCGAUGCCACAGCAGACAGACCUCCCUGCGGGGCAUGUCCCCACCCCCUGUGGCCGUUGUACCCACAGCCGGGGAGGAGUGGGAGGAGGGCAGCCUCCCGCCCCCCCUUGGUCGUAUCACAGGGAAUGUGGCCUCCCUGGGGCUGGCAGAGCCACCUGGGCCCUCCUGGUGCCAAGCGGAUUGGCUGGCUCUGGGAGAGACUGAAGCGACAGGAGGCAGGGACCAGGACAGGAGGCAGGGAAGAGGACAGGAGGCGUCCGAGCCAGCAGCGCCCGAGGCCGAGCCAUGCCCUCCACCCACCCCAGAAGGAUGUGUCUCUUCAGGCAGUCCGAGAGCGGGAUGCACCGCCCGCGGCCUCCUCCCGCUGGGCGGGGCGGCUGUGCGGAGAGUCCCUGUCUCCGUUGUGCACAUCCUGGCAGGUUAAUUAGCUACAGGGGAUUUUCGGUGCUUUUGUUUUCUAAAGCAGUGCAAACAAAAGAAGUGUGUGCUGUGCCUGGACCCCCCCUGGCUGUCUCAUUAAGGAGCCCUCGGCGGGAUCAUCAUGGAGUGUGAACGGCAGGUCAAUGCGUGUGUGCGCGGGGGCACAGAGGAGACGACACCAGCCCAGCGAUGCUGCAGACACGUGCGCAGGGCCCAGGGCAGCGAGGGCUGUUGUCACUGUGACGAAGGGGGACUGAGGGGAUGCAGGUACCCGCGCCCUCCUGCUGAGUCUGUGUGGCUGCCGGACUGCCCACGAUGGUCCCACACAGCGGCGCUGCCCAGUCCCACGCUCUGUGACAUCAGCACGCAGUUCGAAGUCAGCUGCACAUACAGACUGCACAUGGAGGCUGCACACGGAGGCUGCACGUGGAGGAUGCACACAGAGGCUGUACCAGGGAGGCUGCACACGGAGCCCCUGCAUGGGGCUCUCCUGCUGGGACAUCGCCCCCAGCUGCAGGGGAAGUUACAGAAAUGCAGGAAAGAACACAAGUCAGCCGUGGGCAGCGUGAUGGAAUUCGCCAAAGCCAGCACAGCGCCGUAAGCAGCACCGGGACCCUGAGUCAGGGCACGGCCAGGUCCCCAGAAGGCCUGGUGUCCCUGCCCCUGCGCGUCACCACCAACCCCGCAGGUGACUGCGCUGGCCUGCGUCUCCAAGGGGAGCGUGUCACCCAGCCGCCACUGGAACGGGCUCUGCUUGCCCUGCACGUCCGUGCGCCUUCCCGCGGCAACACGUUUGCCAGACUUAGCCGUGCUGUUUGCCGUUGGAGUCCAGCAGUCUCGCCGCUGCGCAGCGCCCACCGCACGCGUUUAUUUGCCCACAUCAGUGUACCCAUCCCGCUGUCGACGACGUCUGUUUCCAGCUGGGCCUCCCGGGAUGGCGCUGCCGGGAGCGUGCUCGGUGAGCACCUGUCGGGCGCGCGUGUGCAGCGGGGCUGCCGCCCGAACACACGUGCGCCCGCUCGCCGCAGGGGGCGCGGCUGGCAUGACAAGCGUGCAGACGGCUGCUCCGCCAGCGGCACGUGUGAGGUCCGCGUGUGCAGCGUCCCGUGAGCCCCCGCGCCGGCCGCCUCUCCCUGGCAGCCUUUGGUGGCGCCUGGCGGCGCCGACUGCAGUUUUACUUUCUAUUUCCUGUCGACUAAAAAAUGGAGCCUCUUUUUAUGGUUUUCUGGAGCAUUUGAACAUCCCCCUUUGCAGAGUACCUAUUCAGGCCCGGCAGUUGUAGAGUAGGACUAAAACAACAUUUUAGUUUGUUUGAUGGUGACUUGUUUUUUUGCUCUUAGCUAACAGCCAAAU